UACGUAGGCAGCGAGCGUUGUUCGGAAUUACUGGGCGUAAAGAGUGUGUAGGCGGUGCUCUAAGUUCGGUGUGAAAUCUCCCGGCUUAACUGGGAGGGUGCGCCGGAAACUGGAGUGCUCGAACGUGGGAGAGGAAAGCGGAAUUCCUGGUGUAGCGGUGAAAUGCGUAGAUAUCAGGAGGAACGCCAAUGGCGAAGGCAAGUCUCUGGACAGUUCCUGACGCUCAUGCACGAAGGCCAGGGGAGCAAACGGG
Molecule: ribosomal RNA, 253 nt
Filed under: uncultured prokaryote
Description: partial 16S ribosomal RNA
Rfam family: Bacterial small subunit ribosomal RNA
Source: RNAcentral